Long non-coding RNA from Pangasianodon hypophthalmus (striped catfish), 4962 nucleotides. RefSeq lists it as uncharacterized. The transcript has 5 exons. NCBI's taxonomy places the organism in Eukaryota, Metazoa, Chordata, Actinopteri, Siluriformes, Pangasiidae. The record is from RefSeq and is a predicted model, not a curated record.
UAGGACUGGCACCUUGGAAAUACUGUAGUAGCACUGUCUAGUCCUAUGAAUCUGAAACUCUGAAAGCUGUUUUAGAAUAUCAUUAUUUCUUUUUUGACUAUAUCUCUCUGUAGUGCCACUUGGUCUACAAGCCAUGUUGUAACUCUGAGUCUAUUCUUUUAAAAUUUUCCUCAAGUCGUUGUAGUUUAGCAGACUUAGCUUUAUGCAGAUUAGAGCAAAAACAUGUGAUGUUACUCCUUAUGAAGCCUUUGAAUACAUCCCAUAAUAGCCUAGGGUCCUCCACCGAGCCAUUGUUGAAGCUCACAAAUUCCUUAAAUUCGGUGAUAAAUUGUGAUAUGUAUAUGCUGUAAUGACCUUCCCCUUUAACUUGCUUUGCUUGGCGUUACCACUAGAGGAAGUAAUAAACAUAUAGGAUAUAAGUGAAACGAAGUAGAGCAAGAGUAAUCCACGUUUGUUCAUGAGCUAACAGGUACAGCUCGGGAGCAUGAUUUAGCUUUCAGCUUUAGUAUCCCUUCGGCAAGCAGAGCGAGUUUUACGGUGCCAUGGUGCUGUGAUGUUAUUGUUAUGGUGCUAUGAAGUCAAUCAGUGGUUGUGAUGCAUGGAGAGAAUUUGCAACAAAGAAUUGAGACAACGAAUACUUCAGUAGUGAAGUUUAUUGCAUCUGAGUAAAAUAAAUCGAAGGCACCCUUCAAAACUCUCUGCCUUAUUUGUUCGAUGCUGAAGGGCUCCUACAUAUGCUACUAGCCCAGGAAUGCUAUUAGCUCCCUUUCUCUGAACCUCGAUAAGCUGGAACUACUAAGCACCAGGUCCCAUAUCGUGUUAAAUUCACCACCAACUAUUAAGGAAUAACUAGGUGUAAAUGUUCUUCUGUAGCACCACAGACCCUCCAGCUCAGGGACUGCAGGCUGAACUGAACUCUUAAAGCAGUUUUCCUCACUGCCAGUCCGAGAGCUGCAGCACUGCACAGUUUAGUGUUUUACUGCUUCAACACCUGAUAAAGCUCAUGAAGGACUUCAGAAUGAGACGAGUGAGUUUGAUCAGGUGGAACACUGCUGUAAAACACCUCACUAUACUGACCUCACAUCAGUAGAACUGUCUCUGUCUCUGAAGUUAAUUGGAGGAUCCAUAGACCAGUCACUCUUCAUGGACACACAGCUGGGUUCUGGAUGAGCUGAAGCUGAAGCUGAGGCUGUAGAAAGACUGCCAGAAGAUGCUGAAACAGUGAACAGCUCACCUCUGGUGCUCAAGAAGUAGAAAAAUCCAGUGAUGGCAAGCUUAUUUACAGGCGCAUAUACAAAAGAACAAAAGGAAAGAAAUAAAGGUAAAAUGCACAUAUGCCUUGCAGAAUCUGCAAAAUGUUAAUAAAUGAAAAAAGAGGGAUCAUUAAAAACUGCAUUUUGUUCUUGAUAUAGUACUGCCCUGAAUAAGCUAUUUCACAUAACAGAUGAUUAUGUAUAGUCCACAAGACACAAUAAUAACUCAAUUUACACAAAUGAACCAGUUCAAAACCAGAGAAAAAUCCUCCAGGUCCUGCAACUUCUUUGAUUUUCCAGCAUCUUCUGCAUAUUUGACCCCUUUCCAACAGUGGCUAUAUGAUGCUGAGAUCCAUCAUUUCACACGGAGGAUGAUUGAGGGUCUUGAACACAACUAUUACAAAAGGUGCAAACAUUCACUGAUGCUCAAGUAGGCAAUGUGAUACAUUAAGACCAAGGGGGAGCGUACUUUUGAACAGGAUGAUCAGUGUAAAUUGUUAUUAUUUUGUCUUCUGGGAAGCAUGUACAUAUCUUAUGUAGCUUCUGAAGGGCAGUAUUAAAUGAAAAAAAAAAUUUAAACAAAAUGAUUACAAUAAUAACCCCGAGGGGGGUUUAAUGGCUCUAAUGCUUGCUGGAAAAGCUGAAUGUAGAGUGGAUUAAGGUGGUACAUUUUACAGUCCAAGAACAAACUAUUAUAAUGAAUUCCUUUAAAGAAACAAAUAAUAACAGCAAAAGGCAUUACUGGCUUUACUGUUACUGUUAAAGUCUUUUUAAACUUUAUUUAACAUUUUGGGUCUAUAAUUAGCUCAACUGCUUUUUUUUACACAUUGUGCUAUAUAACUAUUUUACAACGAUAAAUAGAGGGACAACUAAUAUUUUUCCGGGAAGGAGGGGAUGUGUUACCUUUUUGUCCCAUCAGCGGUACUCAUGCUAAUCCCUACUCCCUCCACUGGAAAUCAUGUGCCCUAAAUAGCGCAAUAACACCGAGUACACUAGUGCAGAGAGAUGUUCACUCUGAACAACUGAGACUGUCACUGUCACCAUGGUUACGAGAAGAUUCCUCAUGAAGAGUCAGAAAGUCCAGCUCACGAGUCGUGACACAACAUUGAAGUUUCUCAGUGUGGUGGAACACGUGUUAGUCCUGGUAGUGGUCGAUGCCAAGUGUGAUUACAGUACAGUCCUCACACACCUGAACUGUUGUGUUUCAGUCACAGUCACUGUUUAUUUUGUACUACACACAGUGUAAAUGACAUACACACAACAUAUAUACAAAACUAUAUUAAAUGACAGGAAUACAUACAGUGCAUGUAGUUAAAGGUUUUCAGUUACAGUUUUUUAGUUUAAAAAAAACCACCAUAUACAAUACAUUAGCAAACGGAAGGAUUUUUUUUUUUAAUAAAAAAGGAUUACAUAUAGGAUUAAAUAUGAUAUAAAAGGAUAUCAUAACUGUGAAUCAAUCAUCUGUGGAGAAACAAAUGUUAGAUAAAGGAGCUAAAAUGAGCUAUAAACAGCUACAACACAUGGAUGUGUAUUUGUGUAAUCAGUGUGAUGAUGUGAUGAUAUCUCUGUGUUGUGUGUAGACGCUGAAGGAUUUGACGUUGGAUUGUAAAAUAUGUUAUUAAAGCCUGAAGUAAUUUGUAGCUGAGUGGAUAAAAGGAUGUGAUCAGUCACGGUUAUUGUUAUGGAACUUCUACAUCUGAAUAUGAAUGAUUCAGCUCCCAAACUGCUGGAAAUGUGGGACGGGUUCUAACGCUUCACCAAAACUGCUUUAUCCUGGAAAAGAGGUUUGAGGUGAGACUCCUGUCAUACGCCAGUCCUGGUGAGUUUAUGAUUCUUAAUUCUGAAAGACAGAGAAGAGAAUCGGUGUAAACAAACAACAUCAGUAUAAACACCAACACACACACACACAAAAUGACAAUAUUAUAUAGUACACAGUGAAUAUUAUUCAUUAUACAAUACAGUACAGUAAAGAGUCAGUAAGUCAGUAACUCACUGUAGUGUCUCCAGUUUACAGUGUGGAUCCUUCAGUAGAUCAGAGAGCAGCUUCACUCCUGAUUCUCCUGGAUUAUUAUAUUUCAGAUCCAGUUCUCUCAGGUGUGAUGAGGAGUUUGACCUCAGAGCUGAAGCCAGAGCAGCACAACCUUCAUCUGUAAUACUGCAGCGCCACAUCCUGCAAGAAAGAAAACCUUCUCACACUUAACACACUCAGUUUUAGCACUGAAAACAUGAACUACACAAAAUCUUUAUAUACAGUACAUUUACUCUCCAUCUCACACACACAACAGUGAAAAUAUAUCAGAUCACUACAAUUAUAGUUACCACAGAUGAAAACUGCAUGUUGCUGCAUUUAUUAAAACGGUGUGCGUUGUAUGUGUGUGUGUGUGUGUGUGUGUGUGUGUGUGAGAGAGAGAGAGAGAGAUAGAUUCUGAUAGCGUGUCCCGUGAACUUUUCUGAACUUUCUGAAAUGUAACGAACACAAAAGCUAAAGUAAAUCUGAUCAAAUAUUAUUAGGUGGCUGUUGUUGUCAAAUGUAAAUAACAGUUUCUUGAUUUGGGAAAGACGUUGUUGUUUUGAAACAUAGUUGGCUUUUUUACUCAGUCACAUUAGAUAGAAGAUAGAAAGCUUUCCAGAAAGUUCCAAAGGAUGUCUGGUUUAGGAGUUGAAUAAAGUUAUAUAAUUAACAAAUGCUAAUAAAUAAAUAAAUGAAUGAAUAAUAAAAGAAUGAAAAAAUGUGUUCAAUUUGUUAAUGAAAAAUGUUUUCUUUUUGCAGCAGCCCUGAUUUUUUUCACUCUUUUUCAGGGCAUAGUGAUAGGGUUCACAUGAAAAUCCCUCUGGUACAGACCACGCCCACUUCCUGUUUAAAUCUAAAUACAAAAACAGUUAUGAAUAUUUUGAGCUCUAAACAGAUACAGAUAAUAGCAUUGUGUUACACCUCUAGCAGAGACACAAGACCUAAACAGCUAUAAUUACAAUUCAUAAGUACAGUUUUUAUUUAUUCAUGAUAUAGAAUUAAUCUAGAAAGUAAAUAUGAUUCUCACAAACACAUUUCAGUUUCUUACAAACAUUUAAAUCAUAUUCUGAAGUAUACAGCUUCAUAAAACACACACACGAUCAUUUCUGUAUGUAAUAUUUGGGGACAAAGUGAUAAUCUGACGUCUGUGUGUGUGUGUGUGUGUGUGUGUGUGUGUGUGUGUAUACCUCAGUAUCUCCAGUGUACAGUGUGGAUUCUCCAGUCCAGCAGAGAGCAGCUUCACUCCUGAAUCCUGCAGUUUAUUGUUACUCAGGUCCAGUUCUCUCAGACUGGAGGAGUUUGAGCUGAGAACUGAGGACAGAACUCUACAGCUUUCCUCUGUCAGAUUACACUCAUAUAGCCUGGAAGAGAAAUGAUGAAGUGUUUGAUUUAUUUAUCUCAUGGACUACUCUUGGACAGAUCCAUGUGUCUCAGCUCAUAUGAGAUGAUGUAUUUAACUUUCUCAAACAAGAUAACAGAGAGGCCACUCUGAACAAACACGUCUCUUUAUUUCUAGCAGAGGGUUUUUCAUAAAGUGUGUUCAGCAGCUCUAGGGAAAGUACAGCUCCAUGAGGACAGAUAACAUCAGAGAAAUUGGCUUACUGACCUCUAGACUAGUACUGGCAUGUUAUUAAAGUAUAUGUGUGUGCAAUGUAAACUGAUCUACAUGCUGUGAAAAUAAAGGUACUUUGUUUCUGA